This 512-nucleotide ribosomal RNA is filed under the name uncultured bacterium. Its description in RNAcentral is "partial 16S ribosomal RNA". It matches the Rfam family "Bacterial small subunit ribosomal RNA", at positions 28 to 507 of the family's 1533-position model. The record is from RNAcentral.
GACGAACGCUGGCGGCGUGCCUAACACAUGCAAGUCGAACGAAAAGAGGGAAAGAGCUUGCUCUUUCCGGGAUUGAGUGGCAAACGGGUGAGUAACACAUAAACAACCUGCCUUCAGGAUGGGGACAACAGACGGAAACGAUUGCGAAUACCGAAUAAGGUCCAAGAGCCGCAUGGCCCAGGGAAGAAAAGGUGGCCUUUACCUGUAAGCGAUCGCCUGAAGAGGGGUUUGCGGCUGUUUAGCGGGGUGGAGGGGUAACGGCCCACCAAGGCGACGAUCAGUAGCGGUCCUGAGAGGUGGACGGGCCACCUGGGGACGGGGCCACGGCCAAGACUCUUACGGGAGGAGGCAGUGGGGAACUUUCGACAAGGGGGGAAGGCUGAAGGAAGAAAGCCGGGUUGGGGGUGGAAGGCCUCGGGUUGGUAAAGUCCGUGUGCCGGGACGGAAAGGCAUGGUGCGAAGAAGGACCGGGAUUGACGGUACCGGAAGAACAAGCAACGGCUAACUACGUG